ACCAAAACAAUGAAACCUGGGAAAAAAUAGCGCUGAAUUUCCCAGAACUCCCAAGCAGCUGAACACUGCAUAUUUUAUAUAUACUUAAAAAGGGUCACUCGCCAAAAAGUAGCAGAGAAAAAUGUUAAGUGUAUAAAACUUUCGGUUGAUUUAGAGCUAUAUGGAUUAAUUACAUUGCAGAUUCAAAAAUAUAAUGAGCAGAAGGUUUUGGACCAGUUGAAGAGAGACCAAACUGUGGACAAAAAAGACAUACUUGCAACAGGUGGUGGCACAUUUAGGCCUCGUCUCACAGAUGUAGGGACACAAAUGUUGGGUUUGAUUGGCAAUCAAAUCCAACCUUUACCCAACAGAUGUGACAGUGCAUCUGGUUUCUUCACAUCUGUUGCACAAGAUAGUCAAGUGGAAGUAGAUUACCUACAAUUAGAAGACACAUAGCAGACAUCCAAUGUACCCUCUACUUCCACUGUGCUGCUCAGUACACCGACAACAACUGCUGUCCUGCCCAAGAAGACAGCCAAGAUGUCUCAGGCUCGUUCAAAAAAUAAAAAAUU
Molecule: long non-coding RNA, 551 nt
Organism: Diabrotica virgifera virgifera (western corn rootworm)
Lineage: Eukaryota; Metazoa; Arthropoda; Insecta; Coleoptera; Chrysomelidae
Exons: 3
Source: RefSeq, a predicted model, not a curated record